UACGUAGGGUGCAAGCGUUAUCCGGAAUUAUUGGGCGUAAAGAGCUCGUAGGCGGUCUGUCACGUCUGCUGGUGAAAACCUGGAGGCUCAACCUCCAGCCUGCAGUGGGUACGGGCAGACUAGAGUGCGGUAGGGGAGAUUGGAAUUCCUGGUGUAGCGGUGGAAUGCGCAGAUAUCAGGAGGAACACCGAUGGCGAAGGCAGAUCUCUGGGCCGUAACUGACGCUGAGGAGCGAAAGCAUGGGGAGCGAACAGG
This 255-nucleotide ribosomal RNA is filed under the name uncultured bacterium. RNAcentral describes it as "partial 16S ribosomal RNA". It matches the Rfam family "Bacterial small subunit ribosomal RNA", at positions 524 to 776 of the family's 1533-position model. The record is from RNAcentral.